Molecule: ribosomal RNA, 811 nt
Filed under: uncultured bacterium
Lineage: Bacteria
Description: bacterial SSU rRNA
Rfam family: Bacterial small subunit ribosomal RNA
Source: RNAcentral
UGACUUAGCGGCGGACAGGUGAGUAACGCGUGGGUGACUUGCCUCAUACAGGGGGAUAUCAGACAGAAAUGUUUGGUAAUUCCGCAUAAGCGCACAGUGUUGCAUGGCACAGUGGAAAAAAUUCCGGUGGUAUGAGAUGGACCCGCGUCUGAUUAGUUAGUUGGUAAGGUAACGGCUUACCAAGGCGGCGAUCAGUAGCCGGCGUGAGAGGGUGAACGGCCACAUGGGGAGUGAGACACGGCCCAAACUCCUACGGGAGGCAGCAGUGGGGAAUAUUUCACAGAGGGGGUAACCCGGAUGCGGCGAGGCCGCGUGAAGGAAGAAGUAUUUUGGUAUGUAAAGUUCUAUCAGCAGGGAAGAAAAUGACGGUCCCAGAAUAAGAAGCCCCGGUUAACUGCGUGCCAGCGUCUGCGGUAAUACGUAGGGGGCAAUCGUUAUCUCGGAUUUGGUGGGGGAAAAGGGGGGGUAGGGGGCAUAGAAAGUAUGGGAAGAAAGGCAGGGGCUCAACCCGUAGUCUGCAUUGAAAACUUCCAGGCUGGAGAGCAGAGGAGGUAAGUGGAAUUCGUGAGUGUAGUGGUGAAAGGCGUAGAUGGUAGGAGGAACGCCGUUGGAGAAGGCAACUUACCUGACUGUAACUGAGGUUGGGGCUAGAAAGCGUGGGGAGCAAACGAGAUUAGAUCCCGUGGUAGUCCACGCGGUAAAGGAUGAAUACUAGGUGUCGGGGAUCAAAGCUCUUUGGUGCCGCAGCUAACGCAAUAAGUAUCCCCCCAGGGGAGUACGUUCGCAAGAAUGAAACUCAAAGGAAUUGACG